Non-coding RNA from Coniochaeta sp. PMI_546, 117 nucleotides. NCBI's taxonomy places the organism in Eukaryota, Fungi, Ascomycota, Sordariomycetes, Coniochaetales, Coniochaetaceae. The record is from the annotation of a GenBank genome assembly.
GGCUGGAUGGCCGAGCGGUCUAAGGCGCCAGAUUCAAGUGUUCACGCACUUUCCUCUCUGAAGAGUUGGGAUAACCUGGUCUCGUAAGAGGCGCGCGUUCGAAUCGCGCUCCAGUCA